UUAAGUAAGGAAGGGCGUACGGCGAAUGCCUUGCCACUCGAAACUGAAGAAGGACGCGCCAAACUGCGAAAAGCUCCGUGAAGCUGUAAGGAAGCGAAGAAGCGGAGGUGUCCGAAUGGGGGAACCCGGCAGCAGACAUGAGCUGUCAUCUGCAGGUGAAUACAUGGCCUGCAAGAGAGGUACCCGGCGAACUGAAACAUCUAAGUAGCCGGAGGAAAAGAAAACAACAGUGAUUCCCUGAGUAGCGGCGAGCGAAAGGGGAGAAGCCCAAACCGGUUGAAGGACCGGGGUUGAAGGACCAUGACAUGGCAAGAACGAGGAUAGGAGAACGGGAUCGAAAGCCCGGCCGAAGAAGGUGAAAGCCCUGUAACCGAAAUCCGAGCAAAGCCUAAUGGGAUCCUGAGUACGGCGAGACACGAGGAAUCUUGUCGGAAGCAGGCGGGACCAUCCGCCAAGGCUAAAUAUAAACGAGUGAGCGAUAGUGAACCAGUACCGUGAGGGAAAGGUGAAAAGAACCGCGGGAGCGGAGUGAAAGAGAACCUGAAACCGUAUGCCUACAAGAAGUCAGAGCCCGUUAAGGGGUGAUGGCGUGCCUUUUGUAGAAUGAACCGGCGAGUUGCGACAGACUGCGAGGUUAAGGAGGAAAGACCGGAGCCGAAGCGAAAGCGAGUCUUAAGAGGGCGAAAGUAGGAUGUUGCAGACCCGAAACCGGGUGAUCUAGCCAUGAGCAGGUUGAAGUUGAGGUGAAACUCAAUGGAGGACCGAACCGACUACCGUUGAAAAGUUAGCGGAUGACUUGUGGCUAGGGGAGAAAUUCCAAUCGAACCCGGAGAUAGCUGGUUCUCCCCGAAAUAGCUUUAGGGCUAGCGUCGGAAAGAACCUUAGUGAAGGUAGAGCACUGAAUGUGUGAUGGCCCCAUCCCGGGGUACUGAAUACAAUCAAACUGCGAAUGUCAUUAAGGAUGUCCGGCAGUCAGACUGUGAGUGAUAAGGUCCAUGGUCAAGAGGGAAACAGCCCAGACCGCCAGUUAAGGUCCCAAAAUACAGGCUAAGUGGAAAAGGAUGUGGGGAUGCCCAGACAACUAGGAGGUUGGCUCAGAAGCAGCCAUCCUUUAAAGAGUGCGUAACAGCUCACUAGUCGAGUGACCCUGCGCCGAAAAUGUACCGGGGCUAAGCCUGAUACCGAAACUGCGGAUUGUAGGAAACUAUAGUGGUAGGGGAGCGUUGUAUACGAGCAGAAGCCGUACCGUGAGGAGCGGUGGAUUGUAUAGAAGUGAGAAUGCCGGUGUGAGUAGCGAGAUGUAGGUGAGAAUCCUACACACCGAAAGCCCAAGGAUUCCAGGGGAAGGUUCGUCCGCCCUGGGUAAGUCGGGACCUAACGCGAGGCCGAAAGGCGUAGUGGAUGGAAAGCAGGCGAAAGAUUCCUGCACCCGUAUAUGGAGCGAAGGAGUGACGGAGACGGAUAGUGUGACCCUCUUAAUGGAUUGAGGGCGAAGCGAAGCGGCUGGUUACCAGGCAAAUCCGGUAACCAAAAGGCUAGAGCGUGACAGGUAAGCGAAAUCUUAGGAAAGUAGCGAAGCACAUGAUGACGGCUUCCAGGAAAAGCUUCUGGCAAUGCAUAUGCGGCCCGUACCAAAACCGACACAGGUGGGCAGGGAGAGAAUCCCGAGGUGAGCGAGAGAACUGUUGCCAAGGAACUCGGCAAAAUGACUCCGUAAGUUAGCGAGAAGGAGUGCUUAAGCAAUUAAGCCGCAGUGAAGAGGCCCAAGCGACUGUUUAACUAAAACACAGCUCUCUGCGAAGUCGCAAGACGAAGUAUAGGGGGUGACACCUGCCCGGUGCUGGAAGGUUAAGAGGAUCUGUUAAGAGCGAUCUGAAGCAGUGAUCCGAAGCCCCAGUGAACGGCGGCCGUAACUAUAACGGUCCUAAGGUAGCGAAAUUCCUUGUCAGGUAAG
Molecule: ribosomal RNA, 1954 nt
Filed under: human gut metagenome
Description: bacterial LSU rRNA
Rfam family: Bacterial large subunit ribosomal RNA
Source: RNAcentral